UACGUAGGGGGCGAGCGUUGUCCGAAGUUACUGGGCGUAAAGCGCGCGUAGGCGGUCUCUUAAGUCCGGGGUGAAAGGUUCAGUGCUCAACGCGAACAGUGCCCUGGAGACUGGGGGACUUGAGUGUGGGAGGGGGCAGUGGAAUUCCGGGUGUGGCGGUGAAAUGCGUAGAUAUCAGGAGGAACACCGGUGGCGAAGGCGGCACUCUGGGCCGAUACUGACACUGAGGAAGCGAAAGCGUGGGGAGCGAACAGGAUUAG
This 260-nucleotide ribosomal RNA is filed under the name uncultured bacterium. Its description in RNAcentral is "partial 16S ribosomal RNA". It matches the Rfam family "Bacterial small subunit ribosomal RNA", at positions 524 to 781 of the family's 1533-position model. The record is from RNAcentral.